This 497-nucleotide ribosomal RNA is filed under the name uncultured bacterium. Its description in RNAcentral is "partial 16S ribosomal RNA". It matches the Rfam family "Bacterial small subunit ribosomal RNA", at positions 28 to 507 of the family's 1533-position model. The record is from RNAcentral.
GACGAACGCUGGCGGCGUGCCUAAUACAUGCAAGUUGAGCGAUGAAGAUUGGUGCUUGCACCAAUUUGAAGAGCAGCGAACGGGUGAGUAACGCGUGGGGAAUCUGCCUUUGAGCGGGGGACAACAUUUGGAAACGAAUGCUAAUACCGCAUAACAACUUUAAACAUAAGUUUUAAGUUUGAAAGAUGCAAUUGCAUCACUCAAAGAUGAUCCCGCGUUGUAUUAGCUAGUUGGUGAGGUAAAGGCUCACCAAGGCAAUGAUACAUAGCCGACCUGAGAGGGUGAUCGGCCACAUUGGGACUGAGACACGGCCCAAACUCCUACGGGAGGCAGCAGUAGGGAAUCUUCGGCAAUGGACGAAAGUCUGACCGAGCAACGCCGCGUGAGUGAAGAAGGUUUUCGGAUCGUAAAACUCUGUUGGUAGAGAAGAACGUUGGUGAGAGUGGAAAGCUCAUCAAGUGACGGUAACUACCCAGAAAGGGACGGCUAACUACGUG